AGAGUUUGAUCCUGGCUCAGGACGAACGCUGGCGGCGUGCCUAAUACAUGCAAGUCGAGCGAACAGAAGGGAGCUUGCUCCCGGAUGUUAGCGGCGGACGGGUGAGUAACACGUGGGUAACCUGCCUGUAAGACUGGGAUAACUCCGGGAAACCGGAGCUAAUACCGGAUAGUUCCUUGAACCGCAUGGUUCAAGGAUGAAAGACGGUUUCGGCUGUCACUUACAGAUGGACCCGCGGCGCAUUAGCUAGUUGGUGGGGUAAUGGCUCACCAAGGCGACGAUGCGUAGCCGACCUGAGAGGGUGAUCGGCCACACUGGGACUGAGACACGGCCCAGACUCCUACGGGAGGCAGCAGUAGGGAAUCUUCCGCAAUGGACGAAAGUCUGACGGAGCAACGCCGCGUGAGUGAUGAAGGUUUUCGGAUCGUAAAGCUCUGUUGUUAGGGAAGAACAAGUGCGAGAGUAACUGCUCGCACCUUGACGGUACCUAACCAGAAAGCCACGGCUAACUACGUGCCAGCAGCCGCGGUAAUACGUAGGUGGCAAGCGUUGUCCGGAAUUAUUGGGCGUAAAGGGCUCGCAGGCGGUUUCUUAAGUCUGAUGUGAAAGCCCCCGGCUCAACCGGGGAGGGUCAUUGGAAACUGGGAAACUUGAGUGCAGAAGAGGAGAGUGGAAUUCCACGUGUAGCGGUGAAAUGCGUAGAGAUGUGGAGGAACACCAGUGGCGAAGGCGACUCUCUGGUCUGUAACUGACGCUGAGGAGCGAAAGCGUGGGGAGCGAACAGGAUUAGAUACCCUGGUAGUCCACGCCGUAAACGAUGAGUGCUAAGUGUUAGGGGGUUUCCGCCCCUUAGUGCUGCAGCUAACGCAUUAAGCACUCCGCCUGGGGAGUACGGUCGCAAGACUGAAACUCAAAGGAAUUGACGGGGGCCCGCACAAGCGGUGGAGCAUGUGGUUUAAUUCGAAGCAACGCGAAGAACCUUACCAGGUCUUGACAUCCUCUGACAACCCUAGAGAUAGGGCUUUCCCUUCGGGGACAGAGUGACAGGUGGUGCAUGGUUGUCGUCAGCUCGUGUCGUGAGAUGCUGGGUUAAGUCCCGCAACGAGCGCAACCCUUGAUCUUAGUUGCCAGCAUUCAGUUGGGCACUCUAAGGUGACUGCCGGUGACAAACCGGAGGAAGGUGGGGAUGACGUCAAAUCAUCAUGCCCCUUAUGACCUGGGCUACACACGUGCUACAAUGGACAGAACAAAGGGCUGCAAGACCGCAAGGUUUAGCCAAUCCCAUAAAUCUGUUCUCAGUUCGGAUCGCAGUCUGCAACUCGACUGCGUGAAGCUGGAAUCGCUAGUAAUCGCGGAUCAGCAUGCCGCGGUGAAUACGUUCCCGGGUCUUGUACACACGC
This 1400-nucleotide ribosomal RNA is filed under the name Bacillus pumilus. RNAcentral describes it as "bacterial SSU rRNA". It matches the Rfam family "Bacterial small subunit ribosomal RNA". The record is from RNAcentral. Lineage: Bacteria; Bacillati; Bacillota; Bacilli; Caryophanales; Bacillaceae.